GUAUUAGUAUUGAUCAACUAGGUAGGUUAGAUGUCAAAUUUUGUGGCUUAUAUUUUGAUUUAUUGUGAAGACAGGAUGCUUUUGCAAUUCCGGUGCUUGUUCUAAUUAUUUUGGUUUAUCACAUGCAGAGCUUCUAUCCAACAUUGAGGACUUGGAGGGUUGGGGUUUCUUGAAACUAGUUACUUAAGUUAUUUAAAGUUCACUGGUUCGGAUGCGUUUUGCCCCAUUGGUGGUGGUUCUUGUGGUGAUGUUCUCAAUAGCAGUUAUGCUGCCGUU
RNAcentral lists this long non-coding RNA (276 nucleotides) under Helianthus annuus (common sunflower). Its description in RNAcentral is "sRNA HanXRQr2_Chr05g0220811". Lineage: Eukaryota; Viridiplantae; Streptophyta; Magnoliopsida; Asterales; Asteraceae. The record is from RNAcentral.